Oryza sativa Japonica Group (Japanese rice) is the source of this 1856-nucleotide non-coding RNA. Lineage: Eukaryota; Viridiplantae; Streptophyta; Magnoliopsida; Poales; Poaceae. The record is from RefSeq and is a predicted model, not a curated record.
AGCGCACGCCACCUCCCCUCCCCUCCCCUCCCAUGGCAACGCCACCACCGCCACCGCCUUCGCCUCGUCGCCUCCGCCGCUAGCCGUUACCCCCCCACCACCGGCGCCCCCUCACCUUCUCCCCAAUGUCGACGGCGGCGCCCGCAUCCGCUACGGCGGCUGCGAGCCUCUUCCUCCGCCGGAGUCUCUCCUCCUCCUCCCCUCGCCACGUCUUCCUGCCUCAUUGGGUUGCCCCCAUUGUCGUCGCGCGCCCCGCUAGGUUAUCUGCGGUGCCGGCGAAGCGCGGUGGAGGUGGUGUUGUUGCGGCUGCAUCGGCGGCGGCGGGGAGCGCGCAGUUUGGCGCCGGGGACAGUGAGAAUCCAUACGAGAUUUUGGGGAUCAGUCCACUUGAUGGGUUCGACCAGGUGAAGAUGGCCUAUAAGCGGAGGCGAAAGGAUGCCGAGAGCAACAAAGAUGCCGAGCACCUGUUCAAGUUAGAGAGGGCAUACGAUAUGGUCAUGAUGGAGCAGCUUCAGAACCGGAAGAAUGGGGUGGCAUAUGGAUCAAUCCAGGUGUCAAAGGACAUUAAAUAUGCUGAUAAUCAACCAGUGGUUCCUUGGGGGCCUAGAUACUCAAGAUCCACUGGGAAGGACCUGCGCAUUAAUAUGGCAAUAUCAGCAACAUUUAUCAUGUAUAUAUCUACCAUGGGCCAUGCAGACUGGAAGCCCAUGCAGUUUUUGUGUUUUGCCUAUUUCUAUCGAAUACUUGACAAACUGAAGGCUACCGAGUCAGCUAGCACUCCUAUAUACAAUGAGUAUGGUGAGGUUGAAGGUCGUGGCAUACACAUGGCAAAACGAGUACUCCGUAGUUUGGGUUUGGUACUUGGAUCAAUACUUGCUGUAUCCCUGGGCUACACUGGGCUAGCCAAUUUUUCUCAGUUUCUUGGGCAGUAUAUUCCAUCUGUUGUUUAUAACUUCCAGGAAUUGAUUGUGACUACAGCUUCAUCUGUUUUGCUUUGCAUAUUGGCGUCGUACUAUCGAUAGCAACUUGUGUAAUUGUGUUGGAUCACCCCUUGGCAUUGCAAUCUUGAUAAACCUGUCUUCAUGAGGGCCAUGGUCGAUAACUUGAGCCUAUUCUGCUAUGGAAUAUGAGAGCCCAUCAACUAUAUAAGUGCACUGUUCUUGCAUGUUUUACAUCGUUCUUACAUCUGGAAAAUUUUGCAGCUACUGAUAAGAUGUUCUAUCCAAUGUUUUGAAACUGAAAUUUAGCAUGCAAGAGACAGACAGCUAACAAAGCAAUGUGUCACAUGAAACCUGACGAUGCUGAAAAUCUAGUUCUAGCUGUAGAACGGCCACUACUUCAACUGAGAAUAUCACCCAGCAAACACAUCUUCUCCCCAGUGGUGUUUUUCAAUGCUGCUGCUUCGUACAUGCACCACACACCAUCUCCAAUUGUUCUGUUCGAUGCCAAUUUUUGAAACCCCAAAUUCAAGAUUCUUGACCGGUGCAUGUCCGUCCCGUUUUGUUUGUUGGCUUCAGCAUCUCACACGAUUCACAGAAAUAAACAGGAUGAACACGUGUCCAACCAUCUCGAAAGAAACAAAAUGAAAUCAAAGUAAAUUGUUUUGUACCGGAAUAGAAGUUGUGGAUUCCUGCUGCGGCAUCGUAAAUUGGAAGGAAAUGCUUGUAAAUGUCUUUGUCAGAAUCUAUGAGAGCAAAGGUCUGCUAUACUAUUUGUUGCCCCAGAUCCGGUUGCAGUUCCUACUUCCAACAAAUACUCCAAGUUAAACAAAGAGAAGCUAGGUAUGUAAGCAAACUAUACCACCUGCACAAAUACAGUUUUGCAUGAAUUAAUUUAUCCUAUUUCACAGUAUCGUA